GAAGGCGUGUCCCCAGCCCUGGCGCUUAGGACACGGGGGUCCUUUAGGAGGUAGGACCUCCUAUAAGGAAGUGAGAUCACUGGGGCGUGGCCUGGGAGGGCCAUUGGGACCCCUACCCUACCUCUACCCUCUCCCAUUUUGCUUCUUCCCAGCUACCUGAGGUAAACCGAGGUUUGCUGCCAUGCACUAUACCAUGAUCUCCCAUGAGGCCACAGCACAAGAACAAGAUCCAUGGACUGGCCCCUCUGAAACUGUAAGCCAAAAACAAACCUUUCCUCCUUGAAAGAUUGGAUUAUCUCAGGUAUUUUAUCACAGUGACAGAAAGCUAGAAAACACAGUAAGGUCCAACUGUCACCAAUCCAUUGAGAGUUCUUGUGUUCCAUUCAGACGGCCAUCGGGAUGGCUGCGGGCUUGAGCACCAGUGUCCUGGGCCCCUAGCACCACGGCUCUCCACAGCGCCUGGCCACCCUGUAUCGGCCAGCGUUCCAUCACUGGGACACCACACCUGACCUCACAGCUUAAAGGACGAGUUUAAUUUGGCCCAUGGGGCCUCAGUCCAUGGUCGGUGCUCCAAGGCAGGAACACGCUGGAGGGUGUUGUGAAGCGAAGGCACCUAAGUCCCAGGAAUUCCAGAAAGAGAGGAGACGCAGCACAGGGUGGAGGGGACGUCUGAGACAUGGUGGCCAAUGACACGGAGCACAGAUCCACGAAUCCCAGCAGCUCUCUCUUCCCACGCCAGCUCCAGGUGGCGUCAUGAAAAGCCCAAGCCCAUGUGGACACUGGGCUGCCUGGAACUCGUGUCCGAGCUGGAUGCAGGGACACGGCACUCUCCAAGCAGCGCUUGCUGGGUGCAGCGACAGGACGGACUCGGCUGGUCCUCAGCACUCGGGGUCACGGCUUUGCCAGCUCCACAGGGGGGCACACGAGGGCCUCGAAGUGGGAGAGCCCCAGGGUCACAAGCCAGCUCCUCCAUGCUGAUGGCUCAGGAGCCAUGUCUUGUCUUCCAGGGCACGCUGGACAGAUCCUUGAGGCAACUCAGGCCGUUGUCCUCAGCCCAGAUCCCGCCCAACACCACUUCCUGUUCCCACAAGAGCCCCUGUGUGAUAAUGCCUGCCUGC
Molecule: long non-coding RNA, 1118 nt
Organism: Heterocephalus glaber (naked mole-rat)
Lineage: Eukaryota; Metazoa; Chordata; Mammalia; Rodentia; Bathyergidae
Source: Ensembl